This 484-nucleotide ribosomal RNA is filed under the name uncultured bacterium. Its description in RNAcentral is "partial 16S ribosomal RNA". It matches the Rfam family "Bacterial small subunit ribosomal RNA", at positions 30 to 507 of the family's 1533-position model. The record is from RNAcentral.
AUUGAACGCUGGCGGCAGGCCUAACACAUGCAAGUCGAGCGGAUGAAGGGAGCUGGCUCCUGGAUUCAGCGGCGGACGGGUGAGUAAUGCCUAGGAAUCUGCCUGGUAGUGGGGGAUAACGUCCGGAAACGGGCGCUAAUACCGCAUACGUCCUGAGGGAGAAAGGGGGGGAUCUUCGGACCUCACGCUAUCAGAUGAGCCUAGGUCGGAUUAGCUAGUUGGUGGGGUAAAGGCCUACCAAGGCGACGAUCCGUAACUGGUCUGAGAGGAUGAUCAGUCACACUGGAACUGAGACACGGUCCAGACUCCUACGGGAGGCAGCAGUGGGGAAUAUUGGACAAUGGGCGAAAGCCUGAUCCAGCCAUGCCGCGUGUGUGAAGAAGGUCUUCGGAUUGUAAAGCACUUUAAGUUGGGAGGAAGGGCAGUAAGUUAAUACCUUGCUGUUUUGACGUUACCAACAGAAUAAGCACCGGCUAACUUCGUG